This 441-nucleotide ribosomal RNA is filed under the name uncultured bacterium. Its description in RNAcentral is "bacterial SSU rRNA". It matches the Rfam family "Bacterial small subunit ribosomal RNA", at positions 360 to 793 of the family's 1533-position model. The record is from RNAcentral.
AAUAUUGCACAAUGGGCGCAAGCCUGAUGCAGCCAUGCCGCGUGUAUGAAGAAGGCCUUCGGGUUGUAAAGUACUUUCAGCAGUGAGGAAGGUGGAUAUGUUAAUAGCAUAUUCAUUUGACGUUAGCUGCAGAAGAAGCACCGGCUAACUCCGUGCCAGCAGCCGCGGUAAUACGGAGGGUGCGAGCGUUAAUCGGAAUUACUGGGCGUAAAGCGCAUGCAGGUGGUUUGUUAAGUCAGAUGUGAAAGCCCGGGGCUCAACCUCGGAAUUGCAUUUUGAAACUGGCAAACUAGAGUACUGUAGAGGGGGUAGAAUUUCAGGUGUAGCGGUGAAAUGCGUAGAGAUCUGAAGGAAUACCGGUGGCGAAGGCGGCCCCCUGGACAGAUACUGACACUCAGAUGCGAAAGCGUGGGGAGCAAACAGGAUUAGAUACCCUGGUAG